This is a small nuclear RNA of Nannospalax galili (Upper Galilee mountains blind mole rat), 107 nucleotides long. The record is from Ensembl. NCBI's taxonomy places the organism in Eukaryota, Metazoa, Chordata, Mammalia, Rodentia, Spalacidae.
GUGCUCAAUUUGGGAGUACAUAUACUAAAAUUGGAACAAUACAGAAAAGAUCAACACAAACCCUGUGCAAGGGUGACACACAAAUUUGAGAUGUGUUCCAAAGAUUU